CUAAAGAGUCCAGAGUUCAAAACACCAUUCAUUCUCGCAUCCCUUUGAGGAGUUACCUCACUGAAGAGAUGAAGUACCUAAAGCACAAAUUGAUGAAGAAACUGCCGGAAGUCUAACACCGGAUAUGCUUUGUCAUCCCUGAUCUCUGGAGAGAUGAAUCACCAGGAACAUGCCAGAACUGGAAGGAAGGGAGAGAAAGAGAUCCGCAGAAACCAGGGAAAAGAUGUGGCUUCAUUUCAUCACAAAUAGCUUUUGGUUACAAAUUCUGAAGGAUCCAGAGCUUCUAAAAAACUGGUACAUUGCACAAGCAUUCUGCAGUAGCUAUCAUAGGUCACUUGCUUCCCUCGAAGAUGAAUUGCAGCAAGCUUUCAUAAUAAUUAAUCUAUUUGGACAGAAAAUCAGUGUUUGGAUGGUUUUCAGAGCAACAAUUAUGAAAAAUAGGUGAAUUAAAAUCCUCCAAUGUACUCCAACUGGUCUCCAGUUGAAGUAGUGCAUGAAAACGGUACUUUAAAAAAGUCAGAAAAAUUUUGUGUUUGUCUGCCGGAAGUCUUAGGGAUGCAUCAGCUCAGUGCAGGGGCAGGCAAACAGCAGACCUGUGCAUGGGAAUAUGCAGCUGGAAGAGCAGAGAAGCAAGCAAGGAAGAAGUGAGAUGGCCUCUUGCUGGCAGUAGUGAACUGCUAGAUUUGCUCAAAGGUCCAAACAAAUGUGUCAGUUCCUGGAAAGAUGAGCUGGUGCUUUGCUUCUGCCAUCCUGUCUGCAUCCCAUUUCCCCUUUUUUAAAUUAUUUUCUGCAGGAAACUAAAAUAGAAUAAACCAGUGGGAGAUCUGAACUGGGCUCUGAUGUAUUAGUGAUGCUUGAGUUAGGAUUGUGUCAACAUUUUGCUGCAUUUCCUGCCUUUUCAUUUUUUUAAGCAGUGACAUGCACUGUGAAAGCUGGAACAAAAUGAAGUGCUUCAGUUAGCUCAAGAGCAGAACUGUCUCUUGCUUUAAAACUUCUUAUUUUAGACUAUUUGUGAAUGACAAAUAAUAAAUUAACUAUUUUAAGAUACUUGUUAACACUCCUCUUCUCUUAGUCAUAAGGGGAAUCAAAUAUAAACCACUCCACUUCAUAGCAAAGCACCCACUUCAGUUUGUAAUCACAGAGAAUUUUUACACAUGGAAGUCCAAGCAGUCAAACAGGGCUAAAACUGAGGCAUUGCUUUACUUUGACAGUCUUGCUUAAAGUAUACUAUGGACAUUCAUACACAUUAGCAAAAGCAUUUGCCUCCUGUAGGCAAGUGAGAACAGCAACAGCAAUCAGAGACUGGGCUGGGGUGGAGAUGGUCUCUUUCCUCUGUUUUUUUUCUCAUGAGAGACUCUAUUUCUU
Melopsittacus undulatus (budgerigar) is the source of this 1365-nucleotide long non-coding RNA. RefSeq lists it as uncharacterized. NCBI's taxonomy places the organism in Eukaryota, Metazoa, Chordata, Aves, Psittaciformes, Psittaculidae. The transcript has 6 exons. The record is from RefSeq and is a predicted model, not a curated record.